Molecule: ribosomal RNA, 253 nt
Filed under: uncultured bacterium
Lineage: Bacteria
Description: partial 16S ribosomal RNA
Rfam family: Bacterial small subunit ribosomal RNA
Source: RNAcentral
UACGGAGGGGGCAAGCGUUAUUCGGAAUUAUUGGGCGUAAAGGGCGCGUAGGCGGCUAGAUGUGUCAAAGGUGAAAUCCCUCGGCUCAACUGAGGAACUGCCUUUGAAACUGUCUGGCUUGAGGCCGGGAGAGGGUAGCGGAAUUCCCAGUGUAGCGGUGAAAUGCGUAGAUAUCUGGAGGAACACCGGUGGCGAAGGCGGCAUCCUGGACCGGCAUUGAUGCUGAGGAGCGAAAGCCAGGGGAGCAAACGGG